This 397-nucleotide ribosomal RNA is filed under the name uncultured bacterium. Its description in RNAcentral is "partial 16S ribosomal RNA". It matches the Rfam family "Bacterial small subunit ribosomal RNA", at positions 523 to 918 of the family's 1533-position model. The record is from RNAcentral.
AUACGUAGGGGGCGAGCGUUGUCCGGAAUGAUUGGGCGUAAAGGGCGCGUAGGCGGCGCGGUAAGUCUGGAGUGAAAGUCCUGCUUUCAAGGUGGGAAUUGCUUUGGAUACUGCCGCGCUUGAGUGCAGGAGAGGUUAUCGGAAUUCCCGGUGUAGCGGUGAAAUGCGUAGAGAUCGGGAGGAACACCAGCGGCGAAGGCGGGUAACUGGACUGCAACUGACGCUGAGGCGCGAAAGUGUGGGGAGCAAACAGGAUUAGAUACCCUGGUAGUCCACACUGUAAACGAUGAAUGCUAGGUGUAAGAGGUAUCGACCCCUUUUGUGCCGGAGUCAACACAAUAAGCAUUCCGCCUGGGGAGUACGGCCGCAAGGUUGAAACUCAAAUGAAUUGACGGGG